GGAAUUGUUCGCAAUGGGCGCAAGCCUGACGACGCAACGCCGCGUGGAGGAUGAAGACCUUCGGGUCGUAAACUCCUUUCGACCGAGAUGAAUACGUGCCGGCCUAAUACGUCGGCACGCUGACAGUAUCGCGGGACGAAGCCCCGGCUAACUCCGUGCCCGCAGCCGCGGUAACACGGGGGGGGCAAGCGUUGUUCGGAAUUACGGGGCGUAAAGGGUUCGUAGGUGGCCAACUAAGUCAGACGUGAAAUCCCUCGGCUCAACCGGGGAACUGCGUCUGAUACUGGUUGGCUUGAGUGCAGGAGAGGAACGCGGAAUUCCAGGUGUAGCGGUGAAAUGCGUAGAUAUCUGGAGGAACACCGGUGGCGAAGGCGGCGUUCUGGACUGUAACUGACACUGAGGAACGAAAGCCAGGGGAGCAAAC
RNAcentral lists this ribosomal RNA (424 nucleotides) under uncultured bacterium. RNAcentral's name for it is "bacterial SSU rRNA". It matches the Rfam family "Bacterial small subunit ribosomal RNA", at positions 358 to 773 of the family's 1533-position model. The record is from RNAcentral.